This 252-nucleotide ribosomal RNA is filed under the name uncultured bacterium. RNAcentral's name for it is "partial 16S ribosomal RNA". It matches the Rfam family "Bacterial small subunit ribosomal RNA", at positions 524 to 776 of the family's 1533-position model. The record is from RNAcentral.
UACGGAGGAUGCGAGCGUUAUCCGGAUUUAUUGGGUUUAAAGGGUGCGUAGGCGGACGCUUAAGUCAGCGGUAAAAUUGCGGGGCUCAACCUCGUCGAGCCGUUGAAACUGGGUGCCUUGAGUGGGCGAGAAGUACGCGGAAUGCGUGGUGUAGCGGUGAAAUGCAUAGGUAUCACGCAGAACUCCGAUUGCGAAGGCAGCGUACCGGCGCCCUACUGACGCUGAAGCACGAAGGCGUGGGUAUCGAACAGG